RNAcentral lists this unclassified non-coding RNA (339 nucleotides) under uncultured fungus. Its description in RNAcentral is "partial contains small subunit ribosomal RNA, internal transcribed spacer 1, and 5.8S ribosomal RNA". The stretch from base 1 to 73 matches the Rfam family "Eukaryotic small subunit ribosomal RNA", at positions 1759 to 1831 of the family's 1831-position model. Lineage: Eukaryota; Fungi. The record is from RNAcentral.
ACAAACUUGGUCAUUUAGAGGAAGUAAAAGUCGUAACAAGGUUUCCGUAGGUGAACCUGCGGAAGGAUCAUUAAUGAAUCAGUAAUACCGGCAUAUGCCACUUUCAGUGGUGUCGGUCUAUCUCUGACCAUUCACUGUGUGCACACAUCGAAAUCAUGCUUUGGCAGACUCUCCCCUUGGCCUUCGUGGUUGGGGGGGCGCUGGGUGUUCGGGCCCGAGGUCUGCCGAAGGUAUCUUUAUUCAACCAUAGCCUGAUCGCUUGUCUGAAUCAUAUAACAAUAAACCAAUACAACUUUCAACAACGGAUCUCUUGGCUCUCGCAUCGAUGAAGAACGCAGC